UGGGGAAUAUUGCACAAUGGGCGGAAGCCUGAUGCAGCGACGCCGCGUGAGGGAUGACGGCCUUCGGGUUGUAAACCUCUUUCAGUAGGGACGAAGCGUAAGUGACGGUACCUGCAGAAGAAGCGCCGGCUAACUACGUGCCAGCAGCCGCGGUAAUACGUAGGGCGCGAGCGUUGUCCGGAAUUAUUGGGCGUAAAGAGCUCGUAGGCGGUUUGUCGCGUCUGCUGUGAAAGACCGGGGCUUAACUCCGGGGCUGCAGUGGGUACGGGCAGGCUGGAGUGCGGUAGGGGUAACCGGAAUUCCUGGUGUAGCGGUGGAAUGCGCAGAUAUCAGGAGGAACACCGAUGGCGAAGGCAGGUUACUGGGCCGUUACUGACGCUGAGGAGCGAAAGCAUGGGGAGCGAACAGG
Molecule: ribosomal RNA, 409 nt
Filed under: Verrucomicrobiota bacterium
Lineage: Bacteria; Pseudomonadati; Verrucomicrobiota
Description: Verrucomicrobia bacterium partial 16S ribosomal RNA
Rfam family: Bacterial small subunit ribosomal RNA
Source: RNAcentral